RNAcentral lists this ribosomal RNA (810 nucleotides) under Halomonas sp. MMRF718. RNAcentral describes it as "bacterial SSU rRNA". It matches the Rfam family "Bacterial small subunit ribosomal RNA", at positions 243 to 1045 of the family's 1533-position model. Lineage: Bacteria; Pseudomonadati; Pseudomonadota; Gammaproteobacteria; Oceanospirillales; Halomonadaceae. The record is from RNAcentral.
AGCUAGUUGGUGAGGUAACGGCUCACCAAGGCGACGAUCCGUAGCUGGUCUGAGAGGAUGAUCAGCCACAUCGGGACUGAGACACGGCCCGAACUCCUACGGGAGGCAGCAGUGGGGAAUAUUGGACAAUGGGGGCAACCCUGAUCCAGCCAUGCCGCGUGUGUGAAGAAGGCCUUCGGGUUGUAAAGCACUUUCAGUGAGGAAGAAGGCCUUGGGCUUAAUACGUCCGAGGAAGGACAUCACUCACAGAAGAAGCACCGGCUAACUCCGUGCCAGCAGCCGCGGUAAUACGGAGGGUGCGAGCGUUAAUCGGAAUUACUGGGCGUAAAGCGCGCGUAGGUGGCGUGAUAAGCCGGUUGUGAAAGCCCCGGGCUCAACCUGGGAACGGCAUCCGGAACUGUCAUGCUAGAGUGCAGGAGAGGAAGGUAGAAUUCCCGGUGUAGCGGUGAAAUGCGUAGAGAUCGGGAGGAAUACCAGUGGCGAAGGCGGCCUUCUGGACUGACACUGACACUGAGGUGCGAAAGCGUGGGUAGCAAACAGGAUUAGAUACCCUGGUAGUCCACGCCGUAAACGAUGUCGACUAGCCGUUGGGAGCCUCGAGUUCUUAGUGGCGCAGUUAACGCGAUAAGUCGACCGCCUGGGGAGUACGGCCGCAAGGUUAAAACUCAAAUGAAUUGACGGGGGCCCGCACAAGCGGUGGAGCAUGUGGUUUAAUUCGAUGCAACGCGAAGAACCUUACCUACCCUUGACAUCUUCGGAAGCCGAGAGAGAUCUUGGUGUGCCUUCGGGAACCGAAAGACAGGUGCUGCA